RNAcentral lists this long non-coding RNA (677 nucleotides) under Vulpes vulpes (red fox). RNAcentral describes it as "lncRNA (ENSVVUG00000018825.1)". The record is from RNAcentral. Lineage: Eukaryota; Metazoa; Chordata; Mammalia; Carnivora; Canidae.
UGACCUCACAAAUUUCAAUUUCAAUAGGAUGAAAAGGUUUUGAUUCUGAGAAGUGAAUAAAAACAUGACCCCAUUACUGAAAAUAAGGACUGAAAAUAACAACUUCCCUGUUUAAACCUGCUAAUGACAGUGACGUGAAUCUGGCAUUCUUUAACUUAGCAAAUGCCUUUUGCUAACUUUUGCUUUGCCUUUAGUGUACACAAGAAAGCUUUGGAGUAAACAUAUAUGGUUUCGAUGUAAAAGAAUGCAUCUGAUCCAAGUGACAGGUUACACUUCAUGGAAUGACAUGCAAAGGUCGCCGGCACUGCGGAGGGUGUCUUUGGCGCCAGUCUUCUGAGGAUGUUGAUGGCUGUUUUGCAAUAUGGUGAAGAUCGUCCGGAGCAGAGGAAGAUACAGGAUGAGAGUAGGCUAAGUACAGAAGUUGUCCAGGAGAGAGGUGUGCACGUGCAGAGAGCCCAUCAGGGAGGCCUGAGGAAAGUGGUCACGGGGUCUCUCGGCCCACUGCACACGGGGACACAGCUGAUUCUGGGAAACAGAAUGUACUCCAACCAGGCUCACCGUCAAAGCAAACUGAAGCCAAACUAUCCAAUCCCAAAAUCUAGCACAAUUAACUUCUCCAGUUUUCUCUUUAUUUUCCCUAUUAAAGUUCAAAAGGUCAUUCUGGAACACUUUUCCAG